This is a long non-coding RNA of Cyprinodon tularosa, 378 nucleotides long. RefSeq lists it as uncharacterized. The record is from RefSeq and is a predicted model, not a curated record. The transcript has 2 exons. NCBI's taxonomy places the organism in Eukaryota, Metazoa, Chordata, Actinopteri, Cyprinodontiformes, Cyprinodontidae.
AACUUGUCAGAAGUAUCUUCAGCCUCCUUCAAGCCUGAGCUUAGAUUCAUCGUUGCGUGGCAUCAAUGGGAACUAUAAGUAAAAUAAGAAACUGCAGGAAUAUGCCAUGUGUUCUAUCCUUCAUUCCACCGGAGUCUGUAUCUGUAUUUAACCAGAUUUCAGUGGUUUGAAGUGUAAAAGACAUGGACGCAUGACUACAGGAGCCGACCACAAAGAAUCCCUUUAGUUUGUUCCUGUUAUUUAAUGAUAAUCAUCCGUUUUUAACAAAGUAUUACAGAUUUCUUUUUUUUGCUGCAUUUUGUGCUACAUAUGCAAGCCUUGGAUUGGAUUAUUUUGUGAAAACUGUGAUGUGACAUGAAUAAAAUUCCUGACCUCCUG